UCCGCAGGCUGUUGUUUAAGUCAGAGGUGAAAGUUUGCAGCUCAACUGUAAAAUUGCCUUUGAUACUGGAUAACUUGAGUAAUAAUGAAGUGGUUAGAAUAUGUAGUGUAGCGGUGAAAUGCAUAGAUAUUACAUAGAAUACCGAUUGCGAGGGCAGAUCACUAAUUAUAUACUGACGCUGAGGGACGAAAGCGUGGGGAGCGAACA
This 207-nucleotide ribosomal RNA is filed under the name uncultured bacterium. RNAcentral's name for it is "partial 16S ribosomal RNA". It matches the Rfam family "Bacterial small subunit ribosomal RNA", at positions 568 to 774 of the family's 1533-position model. The record is from RNAcentral.